RNAcentral lists this non-coding RNA (97 nucleotides) under Ostreococcus mediterraneus. Lineage: Eukaryota; Viridiplantae; Chlorophyta; Mamiellophyceae; Mamiellales; Bathycoccaceae. The record is from RNAcentral.
GUAGCGUGUUCUAUUCCAACGAUCAAGGCCGAACGUGGAAGCGUGAUCGUGGUACCGAUGAUGUCGCUGCCAACCUUUACACGGUGAAGUUCCAAGG